GGUUCAUACAGAAACGGUCUGUUGAACUUCACUGGCCUGCACAGAGCCCUGACCUCAACCCCAUCGAACACCUUUGGGAUGAAUUGGAACACCGACUGCAAGCCAGGCCUAAUUGCCCAACAUCAGUGCCUGACCUCACUGGCUGAAUGGAAGCAAGUCCCCGCAGCAAGGUUCCAACAUCUAGUGGAAAGCCUUCGUAGAAGAGUGGAGGCUGUUGUAGCAGCAAAGGGGGAACCAACUCCAUAUUAAUGCCCAUGAUUUUGGAUGAGCAGGUGUCCACAUACUUUUGGUCAUGUAGUGUACUUUCUGAACUUGUCCAAUAGAAACACUUUGUUUUCUGUUGCAAAAUGUUUUUAUAUGGUGUGCCAUAAUGAACACAACCCUGACUUGUAUAAGCUCUGGGACAUUUAUCUCUUGUGCACUGUCAGUGAGGCCUGUUUUGAAAAGCAUAAAACGUGACAAAUCAGACAUGCCAAAUAACAGUAAAAGGUACCAAGACAAGCUGAAGAAAUAAUAUAAAUUCCACAACACUGGAUGUAUGCUGGAGUUUGAGAGUUUAUCAAAUAAUAUAAAUAAUUAGUAAUUAUUGUAUUACCCUUAAACUGCGUCGUGCGACUGAAUUUGUCAAUGAUGUCUACGAUUGAUUUGUUGGAUAUAUCAAGCGAUAUCAAAUUAAGAAUUUGACAUUUACCAGGGACAGUUGAUGUAUUUCAUGUUUUAUUGUACAUUAAUGUAUUUGUCCGACAUUACUUUGUCUGUCUCUUAAUAUUUUUUGCUGCAUUCCUUUAAGGUAGAACUAGAUGUUAUGAUUUUAGACUAGAGGAAAUUGUCUUAACAUUGAAAGAAAACUGCACUUAAAUAAAAAUCUGAUUUAAUAUUGUUAUUUGGGAUACAACUUUCAUUUUGUUUUGGUUCAGGCCUUAGUUAUGUAAACUUAAACUACUGCAUAUUGUCAUGAAAUCGUGUAACGUUCAUUGCCAUGGUUUUCAUAUUCCUAUGUACAAUUUAGUCAAUGUUGUGAUGCAAUUGCAGUAAUCUGACAACAGGGGGCCUAAAACAAGCCUGUAGAAGUUCAGCAUGCCAACUAUUUAAAGGGGCAGUGCAGUCAGUGAUUUUCCUGUGUUUUUAUAUAUGAGGUUGGAAUAAUACUGUGAAAUUGUCCUUUUAGCAUAAGAGCUGUUGGAAAAGACUGGCAGAACUUCUUGCAUUUUGCUAAGAUUUUUUUUUUCUUUGACGAUUUUAACUGUUUUAAUUGUUACCCAGAAAUGAUUUGAUAUUGAGAAACAGCUGCAUUGGACCUUAUAUUACUGUUUGGCUAUUCUCUCCAGUCUCCAGAUUAGAGGUUAUUUUACAUAAAUCACUUCACCGUCCUGUGUUUAUCGUUCUCCAGUCUCCACCAGACUACAGAGGUUAUUUUACAUAAACCACUUCACCGUCCUGUGUUUAUCGUUCUCCAGUCUCCACCAGACUACAGAGGUUAUUUUACAUAAACCACUUCACCGUCCUGUGUUUAUCGUUCUCCAGUCUCCACCAGACUACAGAGGUUAUUUUACAUAAAUCACUUCACCGUCCUGUGUUUAUCGUUCUCCAGUCUCCACCAGACUACAGAGGUUAUUUUACAUAAACCACUUCACCGUCCUGUGUUUAUCGUUCUCCAGUCUCCACCAGACUACAGAGGUUAUUUUACAUAAACCACUUCACCGUCCUGUGUUUAUCGUUCUCCAGUCUCCACCAGACUACAGAGGUUAUUUUACAUAAUAUAUCGCUUCACCUUCAUGUAUUAUCAUUGCAUAGUAAGUAAUAGGAUCAUUUGAAUUCCUAUUGAAUCACGUACUUACGACAAGCCUUUCUCAACCCAAUCCUCGUUGCGCCCCAGUCGUUCCAUAAUGACGGUGUAACGUAACACCAGCACACCUGAUUCAAAUUAACAGCAGCUUGAUGAUUAGUUGACUCAUUUCAGGUGUGCGUCUGUUAGAACUACAUCAAAUAUUUUUAACGUCUGGCCUAGACCACAGGAGGUUGGUGGACCCUUCAUUUGGGAGGAGGGGGCUCGUGGUAAUGGCUGGAGCGGAACAGCUGGAAUGGUAGCAAAUACAAGUUUGAUGCCAUUCCAUUCGCUCUGUUCCACCCCUUAUUAUGAGCCGUCUUCCCCUCAGCAGCCUCCAUUGGUCUGGACGGUAGCUAGACUUUCUCAGAACCACUAUAAAUAUUAAAACACAAAUAUAUUUCAAUCAUGCAAAUAAGGAGGCUGUGACAACCUUGUGUAAAAAACAUUUUUUUUAUUAUAUUACAAUUAAAGAAUACACAGUAAUACCUUCAAGUGUGUGCCAAAAUGUUAUCCAGCACCAGGUAAACUCAUGUAUCCAUACAUAGGAACUUAUAUAAUAUAGCACAUCUUUUGAAAGCAUAGUACAACAUCUGCUAUUAAAGGAACAUAUUCACAGGUCUCUGGCACAGAACUCUCCCUACUCAGUGUUUUGCCUGACUACGAUGCCAAGCUCCCU
Salmo salar (Atlantic salmon) is the source of this 2504-nucleotide non-coding RNA. The record is from RefSeq and is a predicted model, not a curated record. NCBI's taxonomy places the organism in Eukaryota, Metazoa, Chordata, Actinopteri, Salmoniformes, Salmonidae.